RNAcentral lists this ribosomal RNA (253 nucleotides) under uncultured bacterium. RNAcentral's name for it is "partial 16S ribosomal RNA". It matches the Rfam family "Bacterial small subunit ribosomal RNA", at positions 524 to 776 of the family's 1533-position model. The record is from RNAcentral.
UACAGAGGUCUCAAGCGUUGUUCGGAUUCAUUGGGCGUAAAGGGUGCGUAGGUGGCGCUGUACGUCGGGUGUGAAAUUUCGGAGCUUAACUCCGAAACUGCAUUCGAUACUGCGGUGCUUGAGGACUGGAGAGGAGACUGGAAUUUAUGGUGUAGCAGUGAAAUGCGUAGAGAUCAUAAGGAAGACCAGUGGCGAAGGCGGGUCUCUGGACAGUUCCUGACACUGAGGCACGAAGGCCAGGGGAGCAAACGGG